This 327-nucleotide ribosomal RNA is filed under the name uncultured eukaryote. Its description in RNAcentral is "partial 18S ribosomal RNA". It matches the Rfam family "Eukaryotic small subunit ribosomal RNA", at positions 1470 to 1796 of the family's 1831-position model. The record is from RNAcentral.
CCCUUAGAUGUUCUGGGCCGCACACGCGCUACACUGAAGGAGGCAGCGUGUACUCCUGGAUCGAAAGAUUUGGGUAACCCGCGAAUCUCCUUCGUGCUAGGGAUUGAGGUUUGCAAUUAUCCUUCAUGAACGAGGAAUUCCCAGUAAGUGCAAGUCAUAAGCUUGCGCUGACUACGUCCCUGCCCUUUGUACACACCGCUCGUCGCUACUACCGAUUGAAUGAUUUAGUGAGGACUUCGGACUGGGACCGAUGCGGCUUUCGGGCUGCGUCGGUAUUCUGGAAAGAUGUCCAAACUGUAUCAUUUAGAGGAAGUAAAAGUCGUAACA